Molecule: long non-coding RNA, 928 nt
Organism: Oncorhynchus keta (chum salmon)
Lineage: Eukaryota; Metazoa; Chordata; Actinopteri; Salmoniformes; Salmonidae
Exons: 3
Source: RefSeq, a predicted model, not a curated record
UAAUUUUUUUUUUUUUUUUUUUUGGGACUUAAAAACGGUGACCCCGGACAUGCCGAAUUUGCGACAUUCUGGAAAGGACCCCGAAAAUAAUUUUUAACCAUUUUCACAAAAAGUUUUAUUUUUUUUUUUUUUUUUUUUUUUUCGGGACUUAAAAACGGUGACCCGGACAUGCCGAAUUUGCGACAUUCUGGAAAGGACCCCGAAAAUAAUUUUUAACCAUUUUCACAAAAUUUUUUUUUUUUUUUUUUUUUUUUUUUUUCGGGACUUAAAAACGGUGACCCCGGACAUGCCGAAUUUGCGACAUUCUGGAAAGGACCCCGAAAAUAAUUUUUAACCAUUUUCACAAAAAAGUAAUUUUUUUUUUUUUUUUUUUUUUCGGGACUUAAAAACGGUGACCCCGGACAUGCCGAAUUUGCGACAUUCUGGAAAGGACCCGAAAAUAAUUUUUAACCAUUUUCACAAAAAAGUUUUUUUUUUUUUUUUUUCGGGACUUAAAAACGGUGACCCCGGACAUGCCGAAUUUGCGACAUUCUGGAAAGGACCCCGAAAAUAAUUUUUAACCAUUUUCACAAAAAAGUUUUUUUUUUUUUUUUUUUUUUUUUUCGGGACUUAAAAACGGUGACCCCGGACAUGCCGAAUUUGCGACAUUCUGGAAAGGACCCCGAAAAUAAUUUUUAACCAUUUUCACAAAAAAGUGAUUUUUUUUUUUUUUUUUUUUUUUUUCGGGACUUAAAAACGGUGACCCCGGACAUGCCGAAUUUGCGACAUUCUGGAAAGGACCCCGAAAAUAAUUUUUAACCAUUUUCACAAAAAAUUUUUUUUUUUUUUUUUUUUUUUUUCGGGACUUAAAAACGGUGACCCCGGACAUGCCGAAUUUGCGACAUUCUGGAAAGGACCCCGAAAAUAAUUUUUAACCAUUUUCACAAAA